UACCAGACUCCUACGGGAGGCAGCAGUGGGGAAUAUUGCACAAUGGGGGAAACCCUGAUGCAGCAACGCCGCGUGAAGGAAGACGGUUUUCGGAUUGUAAACUUCUGUUCUUAGUGAAGAAGAAUGACGGUAGCUAAGGAGCAAGCCACGGCUAACUACGUGCCAGCAGCCGCGGUAAUACGUAUGGGGCAAGCGUUAUCCGGAUUUACUGGGUGUAAAGGGAGUGCAGGCGGCUUGGCAAGUCUGAUGUGAAAGGCUGGGGCUCAACCCCAGGACUGCAUUGGAAACUGUUAGGCUGGAGUGUCGGAGAGGUAGGCGGAAUUCCUAGUGUAGCGGUGAAAUGCGUAGAUAUUAGGAGGAACACCAGUGGCGAAGGCGGCUUACUGGACGACAACUGACGCUGAGGCUCGAAAGCGUGGGGAGCAAACAGGAUUAGAUACCCUGGUA
RNAcentral lists this ribosomal RNA (447 nucleotides) under uncultured bacterium. RNAcentral describes it as "bacterial SSU rRNA". It matches the Rfam family "Bacterial small subunit ribosomal RNA", at positions 329 to 792 of the family's 1533-position model. The record is from RNAcentral.